CUACGGGUGGCAGCAGUGGGGAAUAUUGCACAAUGGGCGCAAGCCUGAUGCAGCCAUGCCGCGUGUAUGAAGAAGGCCUUCGGGUUGUAAAGUACUUUCAGCGGGGAGGAAGGGAGUAAAGUUAAUACCUUUGCUCAUUGACGUUACCCGCAGAAGAAGCACCGGCGAACUCCGUGCCAGCAGCCGCGGUGAAUACGGAGGGUGCAAGCGUUAGUCGGAAUUACUGGGCGUAAAGCGCACGCAGGCGGUUUGUUAAGUCAGAUGUGAAAUCCCCGGGCUCAACCUGGGAACUGCAUCUGAUACUGGCAAGCUGGAGUCUCGGAGAGGGGGGUAGAAUUCCAGGUGUAGCGGUGAAAUGCGUAGAGAUCUGGAGGAAUACCGGUGGCGAAGGCGGCCCCCUGGACGAAGACUGACGCUCAGGUGCGAAAGCGUGGGGAGCAAACAGGAUUAGAUACCCUUGUAGUC
Molecule: ribosomal RNA, 465 nt
Filed under: uncultured bacterium
Lineage: Bacteria
Description: partial 16S ribosomal RNA
Rfam family: Bacterial small subunit ribosomal RNA
Source: RNAcentral